GAUGGGAAGCCGUGAUGCGGAGUGAAAUAAAGUAACGAAGUCCGUGAGCCAUGCGUCAAGAAAAGCCGCUAUUGUUUAUACCGUACCCGUACCGUAAACCGACACAGGUGGAUGAGGAGAGAAUCCUAAGGCCGGCGGAAGAAGCAUUGUCAAGGAACUCGGCAAAAUGGCCCCGUAACUUAGGGAUAAGGGGUGCCUGGGAAACCAGGCCGCAGAGAAUAGGCUCAAGCAACUGUUUAGCAAAAACACAGGUCUAUGCGAAACCGAAAGGUGAGGUAUAUGGGCUGACGCCUGCCCGGUGCUGGGAGGUUAAGAGGAGAGGUUAGCGCAAGCGAAGCUUUGAAUUUAAGCCCCAGUAAACGGCGGCCGUAACGAUAACGGUCCUAAGGUAGCGAAAUUCCUUGUCGGGUAAGUUCCGACCCGCACGAAAGGCGUAAUGAUUUGAGCGCUGUCUCGACAAUGCAUCCGGUGAAAUUGAAGUACCAGUGAAGAUGCUGGUUACCUGCGCCAGGACGGAAAGACCCCAUGGAGCUUUACUCCAGUUUGGUACUGGGACUCGGUAUUGCAUGUACAGGAUAGGUGGGAGGCUUAGAGACAGUAACGCCAGUUAUUGUGGAGCCGCUGUUGGGAUACCACCCUUGCAGUAUUGGGUUUCUAACCAGCCGCCGUGACCCGGCGGUGGGACAAUGCCAGACGGGGAGUUUGACUGGGGCGGUCGCCUCCGAAAGGGUAUCGGAGGCGCCCAAAGGUUCCCUCAGAAUGGACGGAAACCAUUCGAAGAGUGCAAAGGCAGAAGGGAGCUUGACUGCGACACCGACGGGUGGAGCAGGUACGAAAGUAGGGCUUAGUGAUCCGGUGGUAUUAAGUGGGAAUGCCAUCGCUCAACGGAUAAAAGCUACCCUGGGAUAACAGGCCUAUCACUCCCAAGAGUUCACAUCGACGGAGUGGUUUGGCACCUCGAUGUCGGCUCAUCGCAUCCUGGGGCUGUAGUAGGUCCCAAGGGUUGGGCUGUUCGCCCAUUAAAGCGGUACGCGAGCUGGGUUCAGAACGUCGUGAGACAGUUCGGUCCCUAUCCGGCGUGGGCGUAGGAUAUCUGAGAGGAGCUGUCCUUAGUACGAGAGGACCGGGAUGGACGGGCCGCUGGUGCAUCGGUUAGACUGCCAAGUCUACGGCCGAGUAGCCAAGCCCGGAAGGGAUAAACGCUGAAGGCAUCUAAGCGUGAAGCCCCCCUUAAGAUGAGAUAUCCCAUUCGAAAGAAGUAAACCCCCUUGAAGACGACGAGGUAGAUAGGGCAGAGGUGGAAGUGUGGCAACACAUGGAGCUGACUGUUACUAAUCGGGUGAGGGCUUGAC
This 1352-nucleotide ribosomal RNA is filed under the name metagenome. RNAcentral describes it as "bacterial LSU rRNA". It matches the Rfam family "Bacterial large subunit ribosomal RNA", at positions 1552 to 2925 of the family's 2925-position model. The record is from RNAcentral.